This 518-nucleotide ribosomal RNA is filed under the name uncultured bacterium. RNAcentral describes it as "bacterial SSU rRNA". It matches the Rfam family "Archaeal small subunit ribosomal RNA", at positions 345 to 866 of the family's 1478-position model. The record is from RNAcentral.
AACCUCCGCAAUGUGAGAAAUCGCGACGGGGGGAUCCCAAGUGCCAUUCUUAACGGGAUGGCUUUUCAUUAGUGUAAAGAGCUUUUGGAAUAAGAGCUGGGCAAGACCGGUGCCAGCCGCCGCGGUAACACCGGCAGCUCUAGUGGUAACAAUUUUUAUUGGGCCUAAAGCGUCCGUAGCCGGUUUAAUAAGUCUCUGGUGAAAUCCUGCAGCUUAACUGUGGGAAUUGCUGGAGAUACUAUUAGACUUGAGAUCGGGAGAGGUUAGAGGUACUCCCAGGGUAGAGGUGAAAUUCUGUAAUCCUGGGAGGACCGCCUGUUGCGAAGGCGUCUAACUGGAACGAUUCUGACGGUGAGGGACGAAAGUUAGGGGCGCGAACCGGAUUAGAUACCCGGGUAGUCCUAACUGUAAACGAUGCGGACUUGGUGUUGGGGUGGCUUUGAGCUGCUCCAGUGCCGAAGGGAGCUGUAAGUCCGCCGCCUGGGAGUACGGUCGCAAGACUGAAACUUAAAGGAAUU